Coffea arabica (coffee) is the source of this 526-nucleotide non-coding RNA. NCBI's taxonomy places the organism in Eukaryota, Viridiplantae, Streptophyta, Magnoliopsida, Gentianales, Rubiaceae. The record is from RefSeq and is a predicted model, not a curated record.
UAAAUGGCGUCCUCUUCAGGUUGAGAGUCCAGCCUCCCAACGGAUAGAUUUAUAAUUUGUUACAACAACAAAGACUAGUUCUGCUGCUAUUUCCACUAGAUUCUGUCAUAUGGGUUGGGAGUGAAAACCGAAAAGUGAAAAAAACAGCCCACCGAACUUUGGAGGGUACGUGGCAGCAAUAGAACGAGGCACAGUGUCUUUUGUCGUCCUCGAGCUUAGAAAUGACAAUGGGAUUUGGACCCUUUCGGUUCACCACCGACACUUGGACGGGCUAGAGUGAUCCGAAGAAUAAUACCUCCAGAUUUAUGGUGCCCUUAAUCAUUAAUGCUCACUAUUUGGUGUUUUUGGGGGGGAGUUGGUGUAAAUGUGGUGAAUCGGAAAUGCAUAAAUCGGUGUUUAGAACUCCUAUGUUCCGGUGUGAACUGUAGGAAGACUUUUGCAUCUUUUAAUCCUUGCAUUGGAAUGUGUGGUCCUUUGUAUAAAAUGGGAGACAAGGAAUCCAACAACCUAUCUAUCAUCCAAGAAA